AUCAUCAAUCAGAUCAGACAGGAAUCUGGGGCACUUAUCAAAGUUGAUAGUUCAACAGUUGAAGGAGAUGAUUGCUUGAUAACUAUUUCAGCCAAGGAGUUCUUUGAUGACCAAUAUUCUCCAACUAUAGAAGCAGCAUUGCGUUUGCAACCGAGAUGCAGUGAGAAAAUUGAAAGAGAUUCAGGCCUCAUUUCAUUCACUACACGCCUACUGGUGCCCACCUCAAGAAUUGGUUGUCUCCUUGGUAAAGGUGGAACAAUUGUAAAUGAGAUGAGGAAACUUACCAAGGCUAAUAUUCGCAUACUUGGCAAGGACAACCUUCCCAAGGUGGCAUCUGAAGAUGAAGAAAUGGUGCAGAUAUCUGGAGACAUUGAUGUUGCUAAAGAUGCUCUCAUACAUGUAAGUCGACGGUUAAGAGCAAAUGUUUUUGAUAGGGAAGGUCCUGUGUCUGCAUUUCUGCCUGUUCUCCCAUACUUUCCUGUCUCAGCCGAUAGUUCAGAUGGCUUAAAUUAUGAUAGCAGAGAUAGUAAAAGACCUGGACGUGGGCAUUCUUAUUCUGGUGGCUAUGGCUCUAGUGACUACGCUGCUGGUGAUAGUUAUGGUGCUUAUGGUAGUUCCCAGAUUGGUGGUAGUGGAGGUGCUUAUGGAGCUUAUGGAAACUAUUUGUCAGGACGAUCUAGUACCGCUGGGUUAUCUGGCCAGACCCCUGGUUCUGGACGCAAAAACAAUUACUAGAUUUUGAUGAUGGCUAUGUGCAGCUGAGAUCCAUGAAGCCCGAUGCCAGCCUACUACUGCCUCUUUUGAUGAAGCCUCCUGCCCAAAACUGGACGACCAGAUGUACCAGGGUUUGACAUAUUCAUGGUCCACCUUGACGAUCUCACCUAAAAGGACCAAAUCUAUUUGAAGAUCCUGAUUUUGACUAUUGAAAUUUGUCAUGUCCCUGACACAAAUUACCAAGGCUCUACAUAUUGUGCUCCUAAAAACCUUUUUAGCUCGCAUUCCUUUGUUGCUCUGUUUUUUAGUGGAACAUAUCGUCAAUAGUACAAAACCAAGUUGCUUCCGUCCUUUGACAGUUGUACUAAUAGUGUCUGUUUUAUCUACAAGUCUCCAUUAUAUUAAGUUUAAAUUUGGAAUUUAUAGCGGAUUUUAUCGCUUGAAAAUUUGGCUAGUUAUAAUGAAAUGCUGCAGAACUCUAAUGUUGUCUG
Molecule: unclassified non-coding RNA, 1205 nt
Filed under: Hevea brasiliensis (rubber tree)
Lineage: Eukaryota; Viridiplantae; Streptophyta; Magnoliopsida; Malpighiales; Euphorbiaceae
Source: RNAcentral